GAUGAACGCUGGCGGCGUGCCUAAUACAUGCAAGUAGAACGCUGAAGCUUGGUGCUUGCACCGAGCGGAUGAGUUGCGAACGGGUGAGUAACGCGUAGGUAACCUGCCUGGUAGCGGGGGAUAACUAUUGGAAACGAUAGCUAAUACCGCAUAACAGUAGAUAUUGCAUGAUAUCUGCUUGAAAGGGGCAAUUGCUCCACUACCAGAUGGACCUGCGUUGUAUUAGCUAGUUGGUGAGGUAACGGCUCACCAAGGCGACGAUACAUAGCCGACCUGAGAGGGUGAUCGGCCACACUGGGACUGAGACACGGCCCAGACUCCUACGGGAGGCAGCAGUAGGGAAUCUUCGGCAAUGGACGGAAGUCUGACCGAGCAACGCCGCGUGAGUGAAGAAGGUUUUCGGAUCGUAAAGCUCUGUUGUAAGAGAAGAACGAGUGUGAGAGUGGAAAGUUCACACUGUGACGGAUC
This 468-nucleotide ribosomal RNA is filed under the name Streptococcus sp. oral taxon 066. RNAcentral's name for it is "bacterial SSU rRNA". It matches the Rfam family "Bacterial small subunit ribosomal RNA", at positions 28 to 479 of the family's 1533-position model. The record is from RNAcentral. Lineage: Bacteria; Bacillati; Bacillota; Bacilli; Lactobacillales; Streptococcaceae.